UUUGAAGAGAAGGCGUACUAUUUUGGGGAGGAAGUUGCUAUUUUGCCGCAGAAAGAUCCUGUUUUUUGUAGGCUAUGGUAUUUUUUGGAGAAAGUAUAACAUUUCUGGGGAGAAGAGUUAUUUCUCUCGCCAAAUACUACUCUCUCCCAGAGAUACGGAAGUUUCUGCACAAGAUGUUGUUUUCUCCAGGGAAUACAUUUCCUCCCGCAUAAUACCACUCUUGUUCCGAAAAUGCAGAACUUUCUCUUGAAAAAUACCGCUUUUCUCCCGAAAAGAUUUCAUUGUCUCCAAAAAAUACCAGCUUUCUUUGAAAGGUAUGACAUUUUCUCCACCAAGUAACAAUUUCUGCCCUAAAAUAUGGCGUUGUUUUUCCCCCAGAAUACCACUUUGCACCCUAAAAGAUGGCAUUUUACUCUUCGUCUUGUGUUCACACAGAGAUCACAACUGCUAGCGCUACUCAACGUGCCAGUCACCUCUUUGACGGAGAGUCUUCGUUCCUUCUCUCCUCCGUAACAGAAAGUCAGAGUGCAGCAAUGGAGAAAGAGAGAGAAACGAACUCUCUCCAAAUUAAGCGCCAGUGGCUCUGAAUGGUGGCUCCAGGAGAUGUGCUUUCGGCGAGAACGCAAGGUGAUGGCAAAAUCGCUCCUUUCCGCGCUGCGGAGAAAAGCCCCCUGUUCGGAGGAAAGCAGCCGGCUGAAGUCGCUCUCUGCCGGCUACCGAAUUGCCCGAAUGCGCGGCUGUCGGCAGCAAGCGGCAUUCGGGGACGCGACCGAACGCUUUGCCUAGCUGUUCUCCGCGACUGAGGAUUUCUGCCGAUAAGAGCGGACUCGGGCAGUUCCGUAGUUUCCUUUUGCAAGAGAAAAUUUUUCGUCUUUAGGAAAAAAGUAAUACUGUCGGGGAAAACAAUGUUGUCUUCCCGAGAAGACCGUAUUUUGGGAGAUCACAACUGCUAGCGCUACUCAACGUGCCAGUCACCUCUUUGACGGAGAGUCUUCGUUCCUUCUCUCCUCCGUAACAGAAAGUCAGAGUGCAGCAAUGGAGAAAGAGAGAGAAACGAACUCUCUCCAAAUUAAGCGCCAGUGGCUCUGAAUGGUGGCUCCAGGAGAUGUGCUUUCGGCGAGAACGCAAGGUGAUGGCAAAAUCGCUCCUUUCCGCGCUGCGGAGAAAAGCCCCCUGUUCGGAGGAAAGCAGCCGGCUGAAGUCGCUCUCUGCCGGCUACCGAAUUGCCCGAAUGCGCGGCUGUCGGCAGCAAGCGGCAUUCGGGGACGCGACCGAACGCUUUGCCUAGCUGUUCUCCGCGACUGAGGAUUUCUGCCGAUAAGAGCGGACUCGGGCAGUUCCGUAGUUUCCUUUUGCAAGAGAAAAUUUUUCGUCUUUAGGAAAAAAGUAAUACUGUCGGGGAAAACAAUGUUGUCUUCCCGAGAAGACCGUAUUUUGGGAGAUCACAACUGCUAGCGCUACUCAACGUGCCAGUCACCUCUUUGACGGAGAGUCUUCGUUCCUUCUCUCCUCCGUAACAGAAAGUCAGAGUGCAGCAAUGGAGAAAGAGAGAGAAACGAACUCUCUCCAAAUUAAGCGCCAGUGGCUCUGAAUGGUGGCUCCAGGAGAUGUGCUUUCGGCGAGAACGCAAGGUGAUGGCAAAAUCGCUCCUUUCCGCGCUGCGGAGAAAAGCCCCCUGUUCGGAGGAAAGCAGCCGGCUGAAGUCGCUCUCUGCCGGCUACCGAACUGCCCGAAUGCGCGGCUGUCGGCAGCAAGCGGCAUUCGGGGACGCGACCGAACGCUUUGCCUAGCUGUUCUCCGCGACUGAGGAUUUCUGCCGAUAAGAGCGGACUCGGGCAGUUCCGUAGUUUCCUUUUGCAAGAGAAAAUUUUUCGUCUUUAGGAAAAAAGUAAUACUGUCGGGGAAAACAAUGUUGUCUUCCCGAGAAGACCGUAUUUUGGGAGAUCACAACUGCUAGCGCUACUCAACGUGCCAGUCACCUCUUUGACGGAGAGUCUUCGUUCCUUCUCUCCUCCGUAACAGAAAGUCAGAGUGCAGCAAUGGAGAAAGAGAGAGAAACGAACUCUCUCCAAAUUAAGCGCCAGUGGCUCUGAAUGGUGGCUCCA
Long non-coding RNA from Gallus gallus (chicken), 2105 nucleotides. RefSeq lists it as uncharacterized. The record is from RefSeq and is a predicted model, not a curated record. The transcript is spliced from 4 exons. Lineage: Eukaryota; Metazoa; Chordata; Aves; Galliformes; Phasianidae.